UCCCGUGUGGCUCAGUUGGUAGAGCAUGGUGUUUGCAACGCCAGGGUUGUGGGUUCGAAUCCCACGGGGGAG
Molecule: transfer RNA, 72 nt
Filed under: Salmo salar (Atlantic salmon)
Lineage: Eukaryota; Metazoa; Chordata; Actinopteri; Salmoniformes; Salmonidae
Rfam family: tRNA
About the family: Transfer RNA (tRNA) molecules are approximately 80 nucleotides in length. Their secondary structure includes four short double-helical elements and three loops (D, anti-codon, and T loops).
Source: Rfam by way of RNAcentral